UCAGAUGCGUUCUGAGUCAUGAUCCUGACU
Molecule: non-coding RNA, 30 nt
Filed under: Rattus norvegicus (Norway rat)
Lineage: Eukaryota; Metazoa; Chordata; Mammalia; Rodentia; Muridae
Source: RNAcentral